Symphalangus syndactylus (siamang) is the source of this 608-nucleotide long non-coding RNA. RefSeq lists it as uncharacterized. The record is from RefSeq and is a predicted model, not a curated record. NCBI's taxonomy places the organism in Eukaryota, Metazoa, Chordata, Mammalia, Primates, Hylobatidae.
GGCAACCCGCUUGGGUCCCCUUCCACACUGUGGAGGCUUUGUUCUUUCGCUCUUUGCAGUAAAUCUUGCUACUGCUCACUCUUUGGGUCCACACUGCCUUUAUGAGCUGUAACACUCACCUCGAAGGUCUGCAGCUUCACUCCUGAGCCAGCGAGACUACGAACCCACCAGAAGGAAUAAACUCCGAACACAUCCGAACAUCAGAAGGAACAAACUCCGGACACGCUGCCUUUAAGAACUGUAACACUCACUGCGAGGGUCUGCGGCUUCAUUCUUGAAGUCAGUGAGACCAAGAACCCACCAAUUCCGGACACAGGAGGAUCGCUUGAGCCCAGGAAUUCAAGACCAGCCUGGGCAACACAGCAACACCCCAUCUCUACAAAAGUUGUAAAAUCAGCUAGGCGUGAUGGGGUGCAUCUGUAGUCCUAGCUACUUAGGAGGCUAAGGCGAGAGGAUCACUUGAGCCCAGGAGGCUGAGGCUGCAGUGAGCCAUGAUUGCACCACUGCACUCCAGCUGGGGUGACAAAAUGCAGUCACUGAGGCCCCAAGGAGUUAAGCGAUCUGCCUAAGAUUACAUGCCUUUGUUUAUAUGUGUUGGAAUUUUUUAA